RNAcentral lists this ribosomal RNA (461 nucleotides) under uncultured bacterium. Its description in RNAcentral is "bacterial SSU rRNA". It matches the Rfam family "Bacterial small subunit ribosomal RNA", at positions 331 to 794 of the family's 1533-position model. The record is from RNAcentral.
CCAGACUCCUACGGGAGGCAGCAGUGGGGAAUAUUGCACAAUGGGGGGAACCCUGAUGCAGCGACGCCGCGUGGGUGAAGAAGCACCUCGGUGCGUAAAGCCCUAUCGGCAGGGAAGAAAAGCGAACAGGUUCGCCUGGACGGUACCUGACUAAGAAGCCCCGGCUAACUACGUGCCAGCAGCCGCGGUAAUACGUAGGGGGCAAGCGUUAUCCGGAUUCACUGGGUGUAAAGGGAGCGUAGGCGGGACUGCAAGUUGGGUGUCAAAUCUACCGGCUCAACCGGUAGCCGCACUCAAAACUGCAGUUCUUGAGUGAAGUAGAGGCAGGCGGAAUUCCUAGUGUAGCGGUGAAAUGCGUAGAUAUUAGGAGGAACACCAGUGGCGAAGGCGGCCUGCUGGGCUUUUACUGACGCUGAGGCUCGAAAGUGUGGGGAGCAAACAGGAUUAGAUACCCUGGUAAC